This is a long non-coding RNA of Cucumis sativus (cucumber), 2018 nucleotides long. RefSeq lists it as uncharacterized. Lineage: Eukaryota; Viridiplantae; Streptophyta; Magnoliopsida; Cucurbitales; Cucurbitaceae. The record is from RefSeq and is a predicted model, not a curated record. The transcript is spliced from 6 exons.
AGUACCAAAGACCAUUGUUUCUAAUCGGGAUGUCAAGUUCCUAAGCCAUUUCUGGAAGACAUUAUGGAGCAAAUUUGACACAACCUUGAAUGAAAUAUAGCACAACAUCACACCCUCAAACAGAUGGCCAAACAGAAGUUACAAAUAGAACUGUCGACAACUUAAUAUGCUGUCUUAGUGGAUCCAAACCAAAACAGUGGGACUUAGCUCUUGCACAGUCAGAAUUCGCCUUCAACAAUAUGAAGAAUAGAUCAACCGGCAAAUGUCCAUUUGAGGUCGUAUACACAAAACAGCCAAGACUAACAACCUUUGACCUAGCAUCACUCCCCACAACUAUUGACACUAGCUCAGAAGCAGAAAAGAUGGUAGAAAAGAUUCAGAAUUUACACGAAGAAGUCCAUAACCACCUAAAAGAAUCAACUCAGUCCUACAAAAAGGCAGCAGACAAAAAGAGAAGACAAGCUACCUUUACUGAGGGAGACUUAGUAAUGAUUCACCUCAGAAAAAUUUGAUUUCCAACUGGAACACAAACUGAAAGACAGACAAUUAGGACCAUUUCGUGUCCUAGAAAAGAUUUGAGAUAACGCUUACAGAAUUGAACUACCACCAGACUUGCACAUUCAUCCUAUUUUUAACGUGGCAGACCUGAAACAGUACUAUGCCCCAGAUGAUUUCUGCCUUGUCAACUAAGUCACUCGGGUCGAGUUCCAUGCUAGGGGUGGAAUGAUGUAAUAUAGAAUGCCAUGGCUAAACAGCUGUAGUUAGUUAGUAAAACAGUUUAAAUAAUUAAACUGUUUAGCUGUUAAGACUGCAAUUAAAACUGUUUCAUAAAAACUGUUAUUUCAACUACUUGUAACUACUUACAAUCCUCAAUAUAUACUCCAUCUCUUAGCCACUAUUGGUGGAGAAUUCAUUGUGAAAAACUAAGUCCAACUUGAAUUACAUCAGUUUAUUAAGUCUGUUGAUUUGUGGAUGAACUAAAACAUAUACAUCUUUUCUAAAAAGGAUAAAAAAAACUUGCAUAAGUUUUCAUUUUCACAACUCUAUGAUUUGUGAUCAAUGCAGCAAGGAGCAGCUGGCAAACAAAUUUCUUUAUGCCAUAAAUGCGGAUGCUGGUUUUGAUCUAAGCUAAUGGUAGAUUCCCAAACUUUGAAGAAACAUUGCAGUACUGAGGUAAAUGAACGUUGUAUGACAGAGCAUCGGGCUUACCGAAGCCAAGGUAUCUUCUUCGAUAACAAGGUUCAUAAUUGCAUUACUUGUGCUACAAGCACUCGUAAACACACCCCUUGUGCUUUGGCUAUUGUUUGAGAUUCUGCACAUUUCAGAUGUUGAGGUACGAGAGACCAAGAUGAUGGGAAGCACUCCCAUUAUCAUUGUAGCUUUCCAAACGCAACAGGUUUACUGUGUACGUGAUGCAAAUGGAUCAAUUAGAGAAGGCGGUAAGAGCAGAAGACAUGCAUCAAAAACCAAGGAGAGAGUAAAGAUCGUGCAAAACUAUAAGCAAGAAGAGGAAAAGGGAGCAUGCGAUCUUUUUAUAUUUUCUCUUCUAUAUGGUACUAUUUAAGAAAAGAUAAAUUCAAGAGAUAAGAAUAUGUAAAACUUUUAUUAUAUAUGUGUGUAUGGCUGCUAUUAUUGUAAAAAUAAAAAUAUGCUUUCAAUUGUUUAACUAACAAAAGUUUCAGCAAGGUUCAACUAAAGUUCCUACACCGUGCCAAGAACCCCCAACAACAGCGCCAUUUGCUUUAUCAUUCUCGGAGAAUCAUUCUCCUGCCCCAAAUACACUCCAUGUCUUUUUUUAUUUUGAUGAUCAACGACUACUUUUUUAUUUUUAUUAUCGGUAAAAUGGUAAAAAGAAAAUGAAGUUUAACCCCUUCCCCCCUACCGUUUUGUGAAGGAGGGUUGCUGUUCAGAAUGAGCGACAGUAAUAUGCAAUAUGUAACAUCUACUUCAUACCUUCUGUUAACUUACACCAAAUACUUGAUCUCCACCAAUAUGGUUGCUAACUAUGGGGACACCAC